Molecule: ribosomal RNA, 433 nt
Filed under: uncultured bacterium
Lineage: Bacteria
Description: partial 16S ribosomal RNA
Rfam family: Bacterial small subunit ribosomal RNA
Source: RNAcentral
AACGAACGCUGGCGGCAUGCCUAACACAUGCAAGUCGAACGAGACCUUCGGGUCUAGUGGCGCACGGGUGCGUAACGCGUGGGAACCUGCCCUUAGGUUCGGAAUAACUCCCCGAAAGGGGUGCUAAUACCGGAUAAUGUCUUCGGACCAAAGAUUUAUCGCCUUUGGAUGGGCCCGCGUUGGAUUAGCUAGUUGGUAGGGUAAAAGCUUCCCAAGGCGACGAUCCAUAGCUGGUCUGAGAGGAUGAUCAGCCACACUGGGACUGAGACACGGCCCAGACUCCUACGGGAGGCAGCAGUGGGGAAUAUUGGACAAUGGGCGAAAGCCUGAUCCAGCAAUGCCGCGUGAGUGAUGAAGGCCUUAGGGUUGUAAAGCUCUUUUACCCGGGAUGAUAAUGACAGUACCGGGAGAAUAAGCUCCGGCUAACUCCGUG